This 73-nucleotide transfer RNA is filed under the name Chloroflexota bacterium. RNAcentral describes it as "Chloroflexi bacterium (marine metagenome) tRNA-Arg". It matches the Rfam family "tRNA". From Rfam's summary of the family: Transfer RNA (tRNA) molecules are approximately 80 nucleotides in length. Their secondary structure includes four short double-helical elements and three loops (D, anti-codon, and T loops). Lineage: Bacteria; Bacillati; Chloroflexota. RNAcentral also lists the same sequence under 1 other name. The record is from RNAcentral.
GCACCCGUAGCUCAAUGGAUAGAGUAGCUGACUUCGAAUCAGUUGGUUGGGGGUUCGAGUCCCUCCGGGUGCA